UCUCUCAGUUUCUCUGCCUCAAUCUCCCUCACCGUCGUCCUCUCUCUCUCUCUCUCUCUCUCUCUCUCUCUCUCUCCAUAUCACAAUUCAAAAAUCGAGAUCUAUUUGAGAGUCUAUAUUUUCAAACUUUGAUAUUAUGUUUUGCAUUUUCUAUUGCAUUCCUUAAUGUUUAAUUUCUGUUUAGGAUUUUAGGGCUUUGAUUUUCUGGGUUUACACAUAUGGGCUCCUCCUCCCUCUCUGUGUAGUUUGUGGAAUCAUUGAAGAGUGACAGUAUUGCCUGUUGUUUGGUCUUCGAGCCGAUGAAGAAUCGAAAAAGUUCAAUGAUUUUCUGCGCACUCUAUGUAUAUUCUGCCAGGAGAAAGCCCUCAGCAGUUUCUGUGAAUUUCUUGCAUCCAAAGAGCUCACCUUGAUUUCAAAGACAGAAGCUAUAGACAGUGAAGUUAGGGAUGAUGAAGCUAGGAAUUUUCUGGUCAAAUCAGAGCCAAAGAUGGAAUGAGUGCUU
Molecule: long non-coding RNA, 502 nt
Organism: Prunus avium (sweet cherry)
Lineage: Eukaryota; Viridiplantae; Streptophyta; Magnoliopsida; Rosales; Rosaceae
Source: RefSeq, a predicted model, not a curated record